Molecule: ribosomal RNA, 305 nt
Filed under: uncultured bacterium
Lineage: Bacteria
Description: bacterial SSU rRNA
Rfam family: Bacterial small subunit ribosomal RNA
Source: RNAcentral
GAGUUAACGCGUGGACGGGCAUGCCUAAUACAUGCAAAUCGAACGAAGCCUUUUGGCUUAGUGGUGAACGGGUGAGUAACACGUAUCCAAUCUACCCUUAAGUUUGGGAUAACUAGUCGAAAGAUUAGCUAAUACCGGAUAAUAACAUUCACUUGCAUGAGUGAAUGUGGAAAGUUGCGUUUGCAACGCUUUUGGAUGAGGGUGCGACGUAUCAGAUAGUUGGUGAGGUAACGGCUCACCAAGUCAUUGACGCGUAGCUGUACUGAGAGGUAGAACAGCCACAAUGGGACUGAGACACGGCCCAU